Fukomys damarensis (Damara mole-rat) is the source of this 595-nucleotide long non-coding RNA. The record is from Ensembl. NCBI's taxonomy places the organism in Eukaryota, Metazoa, Chordata, Mammalia, Rodentia, Bathyergidae.
CUCGGUAGAUACUUGAAUGGGGGGGUGAAAAGAAAGAAGCCCUCCAGGAUACGAAGGUCACUAACUUUAGGUUACUGAGUGAUCGAGUGAUGGGUAGAGAUGCUGAUUAUAAUUUCAAAGACUGGGAGUAUAACUGGAAGAAAAAGAUGUGUAUAAGGAAGAAAACAUGAGUUUGGUUUUAGACAUUUGGCCUCAGAGUAUUUUCAAGCCAUCUACAGUAAGAGUGGAUUUCAUGGAUAGUUGGGCUAGAAAUUUAGAGGCUGAAGGCAUCAAUAGAUAGCUGAGAACACACAGAAUAAAUUUAUAGAAUGAACUGAGAAAUGUGUCAAGAGGAACAGCAACACUUAAAAGGAAGAGAUAUCAGUAAAGGACAUGAAAGAGAAAAGGCCAAAAAGAAUGAGAAGAACCAAAUAAUUUCAGAUAUCACAGAACUCAAGGAAAUGAGAGAUUUAAAAGAAUCCAUGACAGUGUGUUGCUGACAGCAAGAUCUGGAUAAACAGGAGGAUAUCACUGGAAAUCUGGGCUCAAUGGACUUCCCUGAAAUCCUUUCCCCUGGAGAGAGAUGCCUGUUUUCCCCAAGAGCUCCAUGCACCCA